UAGGAGGUAGUAUAAUGGUAGUACGCGAGAUUUUGGGUUUCGUAGUACAGGUUCAAGUCCUGUUUUCUAG
This 70-nucleotide transfer RNA is filed under the name Varanus togianus. RNAcentral's name for it is "tRNA-Gln". It matches the Rfam family "tRNA". Rfam says of the family: Transfer RNA (tRNA) molecules are approximately 80 nucleotides in length. Lineage: Eukaryota; Metazoa; Chordata; Lepidosauria; Squamata; Varanidae. The record is from RNAcentral.